AUUGAACGCUGGCGGCAUGCCUUACACAUGCAAGUCGAACGGUAACGGGCCUUCGGGUGCCGACGAGUGGCGAACGGGCGCGUAAUACAUCGGAACGUGCCCGAUCGUGGGGGAUAACGAGGCGAAAGCUUUGCUAAUACCGCAUACGAUCUACGGAUGAAAGCAGGGGACCGCAAGGCCUUGCGCGGACGGAGCGGCCGGUGGCCGAUUAGGUAGUUGGUGGGAUAAAAGCUUACCAAGCCGACGAUCUGUAGCUGUACUGAGAGGAUGAUCAGCCACACUGGGACUGAGACACGGCCCAGACUCCUACGGGAGGCAGCAGUGGGGAAUUUUGGACAAUGGGCGCAAGCCUGAUCCAGCCAUGCCGCGUGCAGGAUGAAGGCCUUCGGGUUGUAAACUGCGUUUGUACGGAACGAAAAGCCUUCUUUUAAUACAGGAGGGUCAUGACGGUACCGUAAGAAUAAGCACCGGCUAACUACGUG
This 482-nucleotide ribosomal RNA is filed under the name uncultured bacterium. RNAcentral describes it as "partial 16S ribosomal RNA". It matches the Rfam family "Bacterial small subunit ribosomal RNA", at positions 30 to 507 of the family's 1533-position model. The record is from RNAcentral.